GCCGGGCAUGGUGGCACAUGCCUGUAAUCCCAGCUACUCGGGAGGCUGAGGCAGGAGAAUGGCUUGAACCCGGGAGGCGGAGAUUGCAGUGAGCCAAGAUCACUGCAACCUCCGCCUCCCGGGUUCAAGCGAUUCUCCUGUCUCAG
Molecule: non-coding RNA, 146 nt
Filed under: Chlorocebus sabaeus (green monkey)
Lineage: Eukaryota; Metazoa; Chordata; Mammalia; Primates; Cercopithecidae
Source: Rfam by way of RNAcentral